GUGUCAGCCGCCGCGGUAAUACGUAGGGUGCGAGCGUUAAUCGGAAUUACUGGGCGUAAAGCGUGCGUAGGCGGUUGGCAAAGUCAGCUGUGAAAGCCCCGGGCUUAACCUGGGAAUGGCGGUUGAAACUAGUCGACUAGAAUCUGGCAGAGGGGGGUGGAAUUCCACGUGUAGCAGUGAAAUGCGUAGAGAUGUGGAGGAACACCGAUGGCGAAGGCAGCCCCCUGGGCUGAGAUUGACGCUCAGGCACGAAAGCGUGGGGAGCAAACAGGAGGAUAUACCACCGGAUUAC
This 292-nucleotide ribosomal RNA is filed under the name uncultured bacterium. Its description in RNAcentral is "partial 16S ribosomal RNA". It matches the Rfam family "Bacterial small subunit ribosomal RNA", at positions 505 to 794 of the family's 1533-position model. The record is from RNAcentral.